Long non-coding RNA from Acinonyx jubatus (cheetah), 11952 nucleotides. RefSeq lists it as uncharacterized. The transcript has 7 exons. The record is from RefSeq and is a predicted model, not a curated record. NCBI's taxonomy places the organism in Eukaryota, Metazoa, Chordata, Mammalia, Carnivora, Felidae.
CUGCCCCUGGCUUUAGAUAAGAAUUGGAACUUGAUUACCGCAGCAGCUCAUUUACUCCGUUUCCUUGGCUGAGCGAGGCAUUUGAGUUUGAUUAACAAGAUUUUCUACUUGACGUUCAACUCUCAUUUUCCGAAGCGCUGAGGACGGGACUUCCGUCCCUCUCCAUCACCUCUGCCAACUUACGCCUCCGCCUCCGGGCCUCGGAGCCGCCUUGGCAAUGGCCAGUCCUGCGAUUGGUUCCCAGCGGUGAAGGAGCUACUGACUCCGACCUUGUCUGAAGGUUACUUCUCAAGUUCGUGCAUUUUCUCAGCGAUGUGCAUUCAAAUUAGGUGCUGGUGAUACAAGAGUGAAGCUGGCAGUAGAAGAUUCCUCCCGUCUCAGUCCUCACCUUCAGAGGGAGGAAGAGAGACAACAAACAAGUGAACAAAAGUAAGCAAGAUCAUUUCAGAGAGCGCUCAGUCCUGCCAAGACUCACACAGUGGUACUGGUUACAGAGUAACUGGGGCAGGGAAGAAUGUGCAUGUCCCUACCCGGUCAGGAAAUUGGAAACCACUCCAGGGUACUGAAGCAAGGAAACUUUGAUACAGAGCAUUUAUUCUACAUUUAUUGGAAGGACUGGAGGAGCAAAGGGAAGAUUCUGUCCAUGGGAGGCAAGGAAGAGAUAGGAAGGGAGGGACAGAGAGAAGAAAUGCCUUCUCCUGCGUUUGCUGGAGACAUAGGCGGUGGCUGCAGCUUUGUAGACAGCAGUCCUCAGAUCCUGCUCAGGCAUAACGUGCAAAAAACCGCAGAGGCUGUUUACCUUGGCUUCUUCAUCGGAUGGGUGAUAGCAGCUUCUUGUUCUUAAUCUCUAGGUGCCUCCACCCAGAGGUGCCAGACUGGCUUGAAAUUCUGUAGACAGCAGGUUCCUCUUCACUUUUCCACACAGCCAGACGACAAUUCUAGCCUCCUCCAACAUAUUCCAUAGGAGAAGGGAAAUUUUUUGUUUCUAAAAAAUAAGACCAAAGAGACUCUAGAAUAAGAGACACUAGGCCAUGUGAGGGGUUAUCAUGUUCUCUAAAAACCUGAGCAUUUGAUACUGACGUCUGAGGGGUCCCCAGUGAGAAGACCAGCCCCGACAAUUUCUUUACACUAUACACAUCUGUUAAAUAGGAAGAAGGGAUGUAAGGAAGUGGAGACAUCGAGGACAGACAAAUACUGAAUUAUUUUUCCACGGAGAGGAGCACAGAAUAAGCCAGUAGCUGGAGCAAGACAUUAGGUGAAGGGGUUUCAAGUAUGAAGGGUCUGUAGUAUGGUUGGAAUAAGGCAGCAGGGAGGGCGAGAUUGAUGAUGCAGGAAUGAGUGGAAACUUCCAGGAGCCCGCUUCUUGGGGACACGAGAAAGGCUGGGGGAGGGGGGUGGAAUACACAGAAUAGCUGGAAGGCGCAAUGUGAAAACAAGGAUUCAAGGGUGGUGGAAAAUCAGAGCCAGAAGUGAAGAUGACUAAGCACCCGGGAAUUAGCAAACCCCUCGAGAAAGACAUGGGACAUUUAAUAAGGUGUGGAAUGAUGGCUUGAGCAAAUCUUCACUAGGUCUUAAGGCACAGAGUGAUCUGUUUCACAUCAUUUCUCGAAUAGAGGGUUUAUUCAUUUCUCAAACAGAGGUGGAAUAUUUUAAAGCUAUUUCUGACGAAACGUUUGUCUAACCAGUGUUUUCACCUUAGCCUUCCCUUUUGCAGUUUUGUCUUUUACUCUUUUAUAUGCAUACCUUGUGUUCUUGCCAAAUUGGCCCAUAGGAGGCCCUCAACAAGUAUUUAUUGAAUUAAUAACAAAAUUGGACUUACUCUCCCUGUCCCUGCUGGAGCUCCCAGUUCCUGCAGUCCAUGUUUUCCUAGAUCUGCACUUUCGUUUAUGCAUCUUUGUACUGUUCUUUCCUCCCCCAAUACCCUCUUUCCCCUCUCCCUUUUCUGCUUCUUGAAAUCUUAUUCCUGUUUCCUGAUCCAACUAACAUGCAACUUUGCCAAGUCCUCUUUGACUUUCUCGCUCAACUAUGAUAUCCCUGCCCCCUUUCCUCCUGUGGAAUUUUCUUUAUCUGGCUGAUGUCUCUUAACAUUCUGUGUCCAGGGUGAUGGUUAUUUGUGGAAUUAUGUUCCCCACUAGACUGUGAGCACAUUGAGGACAGUAACCAUAUUUUAUUCACCUUGUUCACAUUGAGCCGCCCGGCACAGCCUCUGGUGAAUAGGGAGUAUUCAACAAAUCAUAAUUACAUUUUAAUUUGACUUCCCUCCCCAAGUGUUAGGACUCAUUAGUACACGGACACAAACCAACUGGUGCCCUGUUGCACUGGUGCUGCCUCUUUUAGCUGUAGAACAACCUCCUAAUCAGCCCAGACUACAAACAGACGGCUUCUUCUUUUCAUCACUUCACUUUCAUGUUUAAAGACUUUUUUUCAAAUGCAACCGCCUUCCUCAUAGCCUCUGCAGAAAAACACAGAAUGGCAAGUGCCCAUGGACACAGGCACGUUCAUUUGCACACCCGCACGUGUACACUUUCUCUUUACCUCCUACCAACUGAAUCCUGAUAAAUAUUGUGAAUCAGUUUUUUGAAAGCCAGAUUCAUUGUGAUAUAAUUUGCAUACAGUAGAACACAUCAUUUAGGUGACUAUUUCUAUGCAUUUGGAUAAACACAUUGUACGAGUUAGGUUCUUAAGAGAAAUAGAAUCAGUAGGAAAUCACAUCGAGAGAGAGAGAUGGAUAGAGAAACUUAUUUCAAGACAUUGGCUCACACGAUUGUGGGGGCUGACAAGUCCAAAGUCCACAGAAGAAGGCCAGCAGCCUGGAAAUCUUGGCAGAAAUCAAUGCUGCAGUCUUGAGGCAGAAUUUCUUCUUCCUCAGGAAAAUCCCUGUUCUGCUCCUAAGGCAUUUCAACUGAUUGGAUGAGGCCCACCCACACUAUCAGGGAUAAUCUCCUCUACUUGAAGUCAAAUGGUUGUAGGUGUUAACCAUAUCUACAAAAUACCUUCACAAUAACACCUAAAUUAGUGUUUGACCCAAUGUCUGGAUACUAUAGCCUAGCCAAGCCCACACAUAAAAAGUACCAUAGGAGGCAUACAGCUCUAUAAUCACAACCUUAAUGAAGAUACGGAAUAGUUCAAUUAUCCCAGAGAAUUCCUUCAUGCCUCUUUGUGGUCAAUACCACCAUCACCCCCUGACCAUGCCCCCAGCCCUGUCAAAGCCCUGAUCUGCUUUCUGUCCCUGAACUUUUGUCUUCUCCGGAAUAUCACGUAAAUGCAAUCACUCAAUAUGUGACCUUUUGAAAUUUGCUUUUUCUGCUUAAUAUGAUGUAUAUGAGAUUCAUCCACGUUAGUGCAUGUAUCAGUAGAUUGUUUCUUUUUAUUGCUGAGUAUAUUGUCUUGUAUGGAAGUACCAUGAUUCUAAAUAAGUUUUGUGGAUGGGAGAGGUACGCCUCCUACAUUGUUCUAAAUCACACAUUAUCAAAGUUUGAAAUUUUAUAGGCAUGCAAAUCAAAUUAAAAAGACUAGAAAGCCCUCCUAGACAUAACUCAAUGAGAAGUCAGUUAUGAAGUACACUCCCCCAAUGCCUGCACAGGUAUUUGGCCUUGAAAAAAAAUAAAUGAUUUCAUCGGCCACGUAGAGUCAAAGCCAAGGUGUAUUUUAAAAGCAUCAGUUAUCAUAAUCUUUUUAUUGGCCAUAUGGCACAACGAACUAUUUUAGGCUAGACUCCGUUAACUCUGAUUUUCAUAAUGGCUAAUGGCUAAGCCACAAAAUCAGAUCGGGGAAAGGUUGGACUCCCGAAGUAGUCAUGAAGAAUGCUAAAAAGUAUAACACUGAUGGUCAGACAUGACAGAUGGUCAGAAAUGACAGACUUGUGUGUUUUGGAGUAGGUGUCAAUCACUCUGCAUAAAAAGGAAGUGUGACUUCUAUCCACUUGAUCUGACAUAGCAAAACUCCCUAGGACCCAUGCUCAAGAAGUCAAGUUGAAAGUCUAUGAUCUGGUCUGGUCCAGUUGGGCCAGCCCAUCUGGAUUUAAUGGACCUCAGUCUGCUAUGACUAAAAUCUCUCCCUCCUCAUCUAUGAUAUUCAUGACAUAGGAUGAAGGCUUUAAAAAAAAAUUUUUUUUUAAAAAAAUAGAUGGUAGGAUCUGGAACAAGAUUUGAAUGCCUUAUAAGCUCAAUACCAAAGUUGACCUAUUUUCCAUCGUCUAUUGUGGAAACAGGUAAACAAGUACAAGCAAGUAAUUGGACAAAGAACUAAAAAAUUAUUAAUUGUGAUAAGUCCAAAGAAGGAAGUAAAUAAGGAGCUGAGGUUCAGAGCAUUCUAGAUGGGUGAAAAGGAAGUCUUCUCUAAGAGUUUUGAGAAAAUACGGCAGGGGGAUGAGUUUGGGGAAAGAAGUUACUGACGGAAGGAGCAGCAUGUGUAGAGGCCCUAACAGAGAUUCAGGGUAACUGGAACAGGGUAAGCAAGCAGGUGAGGGACACAGGACAGGGUCAGAUGAAAUGUCAGAUCAACUGCAGCUUGUGGGCAUAAGAAGUUUGGGUUUCCUUUAGUGAAAGGGGAAGCUUUUGGAGGGUUCCGAGAACAUGGGGGUCAGAUGAUCCGAUUCAUGUUUUAAAAGGAUUAUUUUUGCUGCUAUGGGACAGCAGUUUUGCAGUGAGACAGGAUUGGGAGAAAGGAGAACAGCAGGAUACAGCUUGAAAAAGUCUAGGUGAGAGAAGAUAGUGAGAAUGGAGAUAAGAUGAGAGGCAGAUAAGAAGAUAGUUGCACUUUUGGAGACGCAAGCAGGCCCUGUUAAUGGAUUGUGACUAAGGAGUAGAGGUGAAGGGAGAAAACAGGCUGAUUUGCAGAUUUCUGCCUUGAAUGAUAUGGUAAGGGUUUUUGACAUUUAAUUAAACAGGAAAGACUGGUUCAAUAUUGGUGCCUGGAGCUCAACAAAGCUGAACUACUAUUUGGGGAUUUCAAUAUCACUAAUAUUUAAAGGUAUGGGAAUUGCUGAGAUUACCUGGGAAGAAAGUGUGAGAGAAGAAGAGCCCCAGACAGAACGUGGAGGAAAGACAACAUUUCAUUCAAGUGAAGAAGAAAGAGGAGACCAAGAAUACUGGGGACAGUGAGAUAAAGAAACCCCAGGAAAUGUGCUGGAAAGGAAGUGGAGAGAGUAGUGCUUUAAGAAUAGGGGAGUCAUCUGUGGGAUGGAGCUCUGUUGAGGGAAUAAAAGAAAUAAGGGGAAGAAACUGGGCACUAAUUUUGGGAAUAGGAAAGCAACUGUUGACCUUGACAAGUUUUGAUGGAAGGGUCACGGGUGGGACUUCAGAAACUGGGAAGCAGGGAAGCGGAAAUAUUGUGCAUAUGGACAACUUUGUUGGAAGUUUUGCUGUGGGGUCAAGCAAUGGCAUGUCCUCUGAGGGCAGAGGGAGCUGGGAGGGAGAAUAUGGGGUUUAACAAGAUGGGAGAUAUUAAUUAUAAUUACAAUUAUAUGUGAAAAGAAUGAUUCCUAGUAGGUGGCACCGGUGGUGCAGGAGAGUGAAAAGACGAUGCCCGAAGGAGGCAGAGGGCAUGAACUUGGGGAAUGCACCUGCGGCAGGAAGGGAAACAUUUCCUCCACUGGGGCCGAAGGAAAGGAGAAGAUGGAUGCCCGUGCUUCUGAUGUGGCACCUGGUAGGAUGAAUUAAGGACCAUGGCCGGCACCUGGUAGGAUGAAUUAAGGACCAUGGCUGUUAUCUGAGAGAGGAGGGGAGAAGGGAACCUGGAACACCUCAGCAAAGAGGACAAGGGAUCUAGCAUUUUGAAGACACACAAUUUAGCAGACAUUCAAAUUCGCUGAACAGAUGAAUUCAGAGGGGAGGUGGAGAUCUCAGAUGGAAGAGAUGUUCGAGGAAGAAACUGCAUGGAGGCCUGAAACGCAUGGUCCCCUCUACACACCUGAAGAGGAAGCCGUACAAGAGAUCCAAGAGUCAUGCUGGGACUGUGUAGAGAUUUUGGUAUUUCAGAAGUGCGGAUAAUGGAAUGCGGAUGUGAAUAUCUCUAAAGAAAGAAAGACUCAAUCAUAGAAGGGAGAAGUGAGCCAUGGAAGCGUAGAAAAGGGAGAAGCGUGGAGAACAUGUGAGCAGUGACCAGUCAAGCACUACCCAGCAAGAGGCAGGAUUUACUAUAUUCUGAUUCCAUUGUCAAGGCCAGCGUUGUAAAAAGAAAGAAGUGCUGAGCUCUCUCAACUGAGAUCACUAAACAGUUGGCUCAUUUGAACAGUAUUUUUCUACUCUUGUACUCCCCAAGCCACUGGACAAUUAUCAAUCUUGGCAUAUAUAAAAGAUCUGCAGAAGAGAAUAAUCUUUUCACAACUUUGGGUUCCUACUUCUGUAAUAGGGCAAAGAGGCAAGGGCAGAGAGCAGUCUACAUAACUUGGAAGGAUAGUGUCGUGUGGAGAGGGCAGACUUGAGAGACACUGUGCCCUUGGGUCAACGGAACAGACAUCUCCAGAUGACCCCAGAGAGAGGAAGCAGAGGUAAUAAAUACCUUGACUUCUUUCUUUUCUCUCCUUCCAUCUCUUGGUGGGCCACUAGACUAGCAGAACCCAAUCAGAUGCCAUGAAGCAAGGGAGCACAUUGAUGUGGUCCAUACAAGUCAGCCUGCCAGAGCAGAGAGUGCGUCUGGAUGGGUAAAUAGCAAAUAUUGUCACAUUAUGCUCUAGUAGCUGGCAAAUUUCCCAUCAAGGACUUUCACAUUCUGGGGAAUCUUUAUUUAAAAGGUUCACUUGAAGGGCACCUGGGUGGCUCAGUGGGUUGAGUGUCCAACUCUUGAUUUCGGCUCAGGUCAUGAUCUCAGGGUUCCUGCUCAGUUUGAGCCCUGCAUCUGGCUCCAUACUGACAGUGUGGGGCCUGCUUGGGAUUCUUUCUUUCUCCCUCUCUCUCUGGACCUCCCCCAUGCUCGCUCACACACACACACACACACACACACACACACACACACACACUCUCUCUCUCUCUCUCUCUCUCUUUCUCUCUCUCUAAAUAAAUAAGCAAAAAAGGUUCAUUUGAAUUAUUAUUUGUUUUUUAAGGCUGAUUGAUCUUAACAACUACAUUACAGAUUUUUAGUCAGUGAGGAAAGGCUCACCUUUGUCUUUGAAUACCCUGCAUAACUUUGCCUGUGCCGAACAAGGACUCUUAAAAAUCACCGCCAUAGUAUUUGAGAGCUGGAAAGAUCCUUAGAUAUUAUUUAGUAAACACUCAUUUUAGGGAUGAGAAAAUUGCUGAGAUGUUAACUGGAUUGCUUAAGAUCACACAAUGCUAAGCCCACAUGUCCCAACACUAUCUAUAAUUUACUAAUUCCUGAAUAGUAAUGAUAAUGACGAUAACAAAUUGCAAGUGCACAACAUUUUCAAGUUUACAAAGAGCUUCCACCCACAUCAUCUUAUUUGAAUCUCACAAUAAUCCUGAGAUACUGGGAAGGUAGAUGUUAUUAUUUCCAAUUUACGAGUAAGAAAGUGACCUACAUAGAUAUUAGCUAUUUUCAGCAGAGCAAAAAGUGAUAUAAUAGGCAUCAAAAACAAUCCAGACACUUGAGGCUUUUGGGAUUCACCUGUUCAGUCUCAUCAGAUAGAUUCAUCUCUUCUAAUUGACUAAGACAGGCUACGAAAUGAGGGGCUGCUCAUUGAGAAACCAAGGUUGGACCUUCCUAUAUGAAGAUGGUGAGUGCAGACUGAGUAGAUCUCAGGGAACAUUCUAAGAAGAGAAAGGCAGUAAAGCAGCCCCACUAAGGGCCUUCCUUGUCUACCACUGAAGGAGCCGUUCCUGGGCUUCCUGGUCACAUCCCUAUAGCAUUCUCCAAGAAACGGAGCUUCUAUCUUUCAGGAGAAUCUAAACAAUGAGCAUUCACAUAGGAAAAACCCAGGGGACAAGAGGAGGGUCUUCGGUAGACUUGGGUAGACUGGGUGGAAUGUGAAGCCUAUACUACUUUGCUAGUUAUUAUUGCUAUGUAACAAUUCCCCAAACUUAGUAGGCUUUAAGACAACAACCCUUCAUAUUACAGCUCACAAUUUCAUGGGUCAAGAAUUCAGUCAAAAUUCUGCUGGGCUAUUCUUUUGUUUCACAUGGUCAUGACAGGGCUGCUCCAGUGAUAUUCAGCUGGUCUGGUCGGGAAGGGUCAAGAGACUUCAGUCACACAGCAAUGGUUUUGGUGAGGGUGUCUUGAAAGCUUAGCUCACCUCUGCCUCUCUGUAGCUUUGGGGCCCUCUAGGAGAUUUCUCCAGUAGGGUAGUUGAGUUUUAUACAUGCCCACUCACCUUCUGAAGAUUUAGAAAGCAGUUUUAGCCUUUUCUUCAAGGCUAGCUCCAGAACUGACAUAACAUUAGUUUGGCUGUCCAGUUUUGGUCAGUGAAGUCAAGGAGCGGUUCAACAGAUCUCAUCACUUGGUGGGAAAAGAGACAAAGGUUUAUUGCCAUCUUUAAUCUAGCAUAAUUCUCACACAAACUUCUCUCAUUUCCCCACUGUUUUUCAUGCUUACUCCCCAUUACAUCGUUUUUACAAUUAUAAUCUGAAGGAAAUAUUAAGGACAUGGGCUGGAGGUAGUUUUCAACCUGGGGAACAUAUAUUUGAUGAUGCAAAUUGCAACAUCACUUGGGGAGACAGGUUGGGAUCAUUGAUCUCUGUAGUGUGACUGGCAUGUGUCUUGCUUCACCAACCUGGGUUUAAAUGACAGAAUGUAUUCAUAACAUUAAAUAAGGUGUUCUUGAUUCUCCUAACCACCUACUUGUCUUGCAAUUGUUUACAGAUUUCUCCCUCCCAGAUAUAUUUUUUUAAUUUUUUAAGGUUUUAUUUAUUUUUGAGACAGAGAGAGACAGAGCAUGAGCAGGGGAGGGGCAGAGAGAGAAAGGGAGACACAGAAUCCGAAGCAGGCUCCAGGCCCUGAGCCGUUAGCACAGAGCCUGAUGCGGGGCUCGAACUCACGGACUGUGAGAUCAUGACCUGAGCUGAAGUUGGAUGUUUACCCAACUGAGUCACCCAGGCGCCCCCCUCCCAGAUAUUUUAAGAGUCCCCAGGCCUGAUUCCCUAUGUUUGACGCUCACAUAUCUGUGCCAGGAGCUGGGGUUUGUCCCUCUGAACAGGAUUCUGCAGGAGAGGCUACUGCUGCUCUGUCUCUGGUCUCAGUUCUUAUUCACCUCCAUUCGCCACCUGCCAUGGCAUCUUGGGACACAUUAUUAAGGAAAUUCAUUGCUAUCAUUUCAAUUCCCAUGGUGCUGUGAGAGAAUGAUCCUCCCUCUCCAAGUGCAAAGGACAAAGGUUCCUCAUUUUUUAUUCUCAUACAAGUUGGGUCCCACUGAGAAGUUGCCCAAGUGCCCAGUAUUGUCAUACAUUUUAUUCACCUACACAGAGCCAGGUACCGCAGAGUCACUCAGGUAGCCAGGGAAGCUGGCAUUGGAUAAGUUCCAGUACCUGCCUGGCCGCAUGUCAUAUCUAGAUCCCCAAUCCAGCCCUUUGCUCAGACAAUUGUGCUACCUAUGGGACAAAGUAUAAAUCUCCCUUUUUCUUACGGUAUCUUCUCUCCCAGGGUUGCCAUGGGCCAGCUCCCCUCCUGGAUUCUGCUAGAACUGGCCAUCCCCACUUUCCUAUUCCCCUCCCUGUAAUUUACCAUGUAGGUCUCUAUGCGUUCAUAGGGUUCCUGACCUUUUUUUCUUUAGUUCUCCCUGGGGACUUCUCUCAGGACCUUAAUAAAUGUAAACAGAUACAUGAUAUGUGUAUGUAUGUUUGGGGGUGAGAUGUAGGGUCUAAACCUUUUUAACAGAAGCAUCUUUGCUCCAGUGCCUGUCACCCAAGAACUCUGGAUUCUUGGGUUCUAGUCAAACCAUAUAUUUCCCUAUUUUCUCUGCUUUCCCCUUGCCUACAAACGUAAUUUGGGAGAAAAACAAAUUCCAAAAAUAUCCCAGGUAUAGAGAUGUGCUCUUUCCUCUUUAUCCCUCAAGGGACUAAACCAAAUUGGCUGUCCCCCUGAGUCAAUUCUGAUUGGUUGGUUAUGAACACAGAUGGGCCCCUUUUGCUGCUUCUGCCCAGCCUGGGGUGGAGGAAGUGGUCAGGGGAGGGAUUAUAGUAUUAUGAGCUACCACCACAUCUAAGCAUAAUCACAGCACCUUGGGGUCCAGAGAAUGUGCCAAGAACAUGAAUUAGCAGGUGAGCUUGGCCCCUGUUACUUCUCUCCCACACGUGGAGAGAGCAUGAGAAGGGGCCCUAGCACACUGUAAACAGGCUUCUAAUGCCAGUAGCCUGAUAAAUUUUAUAAAUAAAACCAGAGAAUUCUGAUUAUGCAUGAAUCAUCUGUAUCUGAUUUGUUUCAUCAAUAUGUCAGUCCAUGAGUUAGCUUUCCACGUUUUCGAGCUUUCAUAGCACUGUAAAUGCACUCAGUAUCAGAAACUCUGGCAUUCAGCACCCCACGUCCCUUUUGCCUUGUGUUUAUUUUGGUAUCUUGCCCCAGCAACAUCCUCUCUCACCUACGGGUCACUCAGCCUUGUGCAAACAUCCCAUCUUGGAAGCAAACUAGAUUCUGCAGAACUCCCCGGCCAGAAAGGAAGGAAAGAAGGGGAAGCUGGUGGUAGUUUGAAAAGAAAUACAAAGGUCUUUAAAACAACCUUGCCAUAGCCCUCCUCGAAACCCCCUACUGUCCACUUGCUGAAUAUUCAUUCCCUAGUAGGUUCCAAUGAAACUUAUCAAUGUUGUUUUUACUUUUUUAGAAACAAAACAAAUUAUGUUCUUGUUAUCAAUACAUGUUUGCAACAGGAAUUGUGGGAUUUCCAGAUAAGCAAAUGGAAAAUGAAGAAAAUAUCAAUAUAUAAAUUUUAUUAACAUUUUGGUAAAUGUUCUUCCAUGUUUUUUCUAUGGAAAUAACUAUGAGUACAUAUGGUCCAAACCAUAUAUGUUUUGUAAUGAGCCUUUUCAUUUGAUAGACUGCCUGAGUAUCUUGUGUUUAUAUAAAUAAUCUUUAAGAUCAUCAUUUAAAAUUGAUGUAUAGUAUUUCAUUUUAUGAAAUAAAUACACCAUUUAUAAUCACCAUAGAUUAUUUCACUACUUACGUACUGAUAAAAACUUAGGUUGUUUUUAUUUUUAUGCUCUUAAAAAAUCCUAUGUGGAAAAUGUUUAUAAAUACAUCUAAAAAUACAUGCACCCAUUUUUUCUUAAAAUUAACCCCAGUUUCUUAAAACUCCUACCUGUGCUACUAUUGAGUCCUAGAGUUUGCACAUUUUUAGGAAUUUUGAUAUGUAGUCUGAGUUCCCCUUAAAAGCAGGUUCUGUUUUUUUCUUAGGUAAUAAUAGUAUAUACAAUGCUCACAUGGGCUUAAGGAACUUCAUAGCAGUUAUCAAACAGGUUCUCUUGCACAAAUACCUCUUUAACAAUGCUUGAAGAGACUCUUUAACUUUAGGAAUUUAUAAUAGAACAAAAAGAUUAAUUGCCAGAGUGGGACUCAUAUGAAGUUUACUAUAGCAAUUAAGCAGAGUCAUGCAAAUUAAGAGAGAUGUAUUUUUAAAUAUUUAUUAUAUUUAUUUUAAUCUUAUAAUGAUAAUAUAUGAUUACUGUAGAAGAUUAUUUUAUGUAUACAGGAAAUUAUAUUAAAUUUACUCAUAAGCCCAUCAUGCCUAGAAGACCGCUGUUCAGAUAGGAUACAUGAACUACACAUCUUUUAUAUUUAGCCUUCUAGUUUGCUCUUUUUCAUUCAAUGCUUUAGCAGUAGCAUUUUGUCACAUCAUCAACUCCAUUUGAAAACAUGCCAUUGAUUGCCGGAAAUCAUAUAAAAAUGACUCUAUGGAAAAUAUCAUAAUUAAAAAAAUCUUUCUCUUACUCUUGGACAUCAGGAAUGUCUAGAAAUUUAUCAUAAAUAUCGCUGGGAUGAACAUCUUCGUACGCUGGUCUUUUUUCAGGUCUAUGAUUAUAGCUUUCACCUUGGGUGAAAUUAUAGGAUCAAAGGCAUGCUGUUUUAAAAAUC